CGGCCGCGCGGGGGCGAGAACUACCCCGGGCUGGAGCCGCAGUGCGAACCCGGGCCGCGCAGGACUGGGGUCACGUGACGCCCAGGAGCCUGUGGUGUCAUUUGGGGCCUCUAGUCAGGAACGGCUUGAACCCGAAAGAACGACCUGAAACUACAUAUCCCAGAAUGCCAACUCAUCCGGAUAGCCGAAGGUGACAGAACUACAAAUCCCAGCAUCCUGUGCGCUUUCUAGGCUCGAGGCCCGUGCCCGGCUAUGUGGAGUGCUUUAGUUCAUGGAGGAGCUGGGAGACUUCUGUCUGUUUUUUCUGUGGAGGCUUCGGCUCCAGAUGGAGACUGAAGGACUAGGAAAGUCCUGGGCCUCUCUUUUAGCCCGUUCCUACCCACAGUACUGCCUCGGAGGACACUGUCGGGCCUUUGCAAUCUAACCACUAAAUUUUAACAAGGAAAUUAAACCCACAGGAGAAAAACUGAACAUGUUUGUUGAAACAUUGAGGAGUAUAAAUGGCUGCUAUGGAAGGAAAUGGAUUAUGCUAUUAAUUCACAGUACGUUCAGAAAAGCAAUGGCCAACACAGAAACCAGACUGGCAGAAGUACAGAUUCAUGUCAGGGUGAGUAUGGUGGCUGGCCUUAUGUGAACAAUGUGAAAGUGGAGGCCAAAUGGACCCUUUCCUCCCCAGCUUGCUUUUGGUCACGGAGUUUCAUCACAGCAAGAGCAACUGUAACUAAGAUAGAGAGGUA
Long non-coding RNA from Arvicola amphibius (Eurasian water vole), 737 nucleotides. RefSeq lists it as uncharacterized. The transcript has 3 exons. Lineage: Eukaryota; Metazoa; Chordata; Mammalia; Rodentia; Cricetidae. The record is from RefSeq and is a predicted model, not a curated record.